UGCUGUUCCCGCCCAGGGCGCCGCGGGGUGUGGCCGUUUGCCCAGGGUCAGGCAGCCUUGAACCCCCAUCCUGAUGUCCAUUUAACCACCACGCCAGAGCGCCUCCCCAUCGCGUCCGCAUCCGUUAUAGCUCCGGGGGCCUCCCAACAGCUCAAGGAGACAAAACAACCACACUGGCGGCUGGCAUCGUGGUGCAGCAGUCACUGCCUCAUUUCACUCUCUCAGCAGGCCUGGAAGGCUCAUUGCUCCCAUUUUACAGGGUUCACCUUCAGCCUGGGCCUCUACCUGCAGCCAGCCAACUGGACAUACCUGAAAGAUGGUGGUAUAAACUACAUAGGUCGGGGCCCCCCAUUGUGGCACAAAGGUUAAGAAC
Long non-coding RNA from Talpa occidentalis (Iberian mole), 373 nucleotides. RefSeq lists it as uncharacterized. The transcript has 3 exons. The record is from RefSeq and is a predicted model, not a curated record. Lineage: Eukaryota; Metazoa; Chordata; Mammalia; Eulipotyphla; Talpidae.